RNAcentral lists this ribosomal RNA (404 nucleotides) under Mytilus sp. Ant14. RNAcentral's name for it is "partial 16S ribosomal RNA". It matches the Rfam family "Bacterial large subunit ribosomal RNA", at positions 1865 to 2550 of the family's 2925-position model. Lineage: Eukaryota; Metazoa; Mollusca; Bivalvia; Mytilida; Mytilidae. The record is from RNAcentral.
AGUGCAACUAGAGUAAUGUUUGUUGUAAACGGCGGCGUUAACGUGAGCGUCCUAAGGUAGCGCGAUAAUUUGCUUUUCAAUUGAAGGAUGGUAUGAAAGGGUUAACGAAGAAGGUGCUGUGUCUAAAAAUUUAAUUUAAACUAACUUUAAGGUGAAGAGGCCUUUAUGUAAAAGAAGGACGACAAGACCCUAUGAAGCUUUAUCUUAAUUGGAGCUUUCAGGCUCUUAUACGAUUUUGAUGGGAGAUCAGUAGAAAUAAGUCUUCUACUAUUAUAUUAAUCUUACUAGUAUUUCCUAACUUUAUAUGUGUGGCUAGCUACUCUAGGGAUAACAGCGCAAUUUCUCCCGAAAGAUGGUAUUGGAGGGGAAGAUUGCGACCUCAAUGUUGGCUUUAGAUACCCUAG